This 71-nucleotide transfer RNA is filed under the name Candidatus Kaiserbacteria bacterium RIFCSPHIGHO2_02_FULL_50_9. RNAcentral describes it as "tRNA-Trp". It matches the Rfam family "tRNA". From Rfam's summary of the family: Transfer RNA (tRNA) molecules are approximately 80 nucleotides in length. RNAcentral also lists the same sequence under 1 other name. Lineage: Bacteria; Candidatus Kaiseribacteriota. The record is from RNAcentral.
GGGAGCUUAGUUUAGUGGUAAAACUGUCGUCUCCAAAACGACCGUCGGGGGUCCGAUUCCUCCAGCUCCCG